AGAGUUUGAUCCUGGCUCAGGACGAACGCUGGCGGCGUGCCUAAUACAUGCAAGUCGAACGCACUCUCGUUUAGAUUGAAGGAGCUUGCUCCUGAUUGAUAAACAUUUGAGUGAGUGGCGGACGGGUGAGUAACACGUGGGUAACCUGCCCUAAAGUGGGGGAUAACAUUUGGAAACAGAUGCUAAUACCGCAUAAAACCUAACACCGCAUGGUGUAGGGUUGAAAGAUGGUUUCGGCUAUCACUUUAGGAUGGACCCGCGGUGCAUUAGUUAGUUGGUGAGGUAAAGGCUCACCAAGACCGUGAUGCAUAGCCGACCUGAGAGGGUAAUCGGCCACACUGGGACUGAGACACGGUCCAGACUCCUACGGGAGGCAGCAGUAGGGAAUCUUCCACAAUGGACGAAAGUCUGAUGGAGCAACGCCGCGUGAGUGAAGAAGGUUUUCGGAUCGUAAAACUCUGUUGUUGGAGAAGAAUGUAUCUGAUAGUAACUGAUCAGGUAGUGACGGUAUCCAACCAGAAAGCCACGGCUAACUACGUGCCAGCAGCCGCGGUAAUACGUAGGUGGCAAGCGUUGUCCGGAUUUAUUGGGCGUAAAGCGAGCGCAGGCGGUUUCUUAAGUCUGAUGUGAAAGCCUUCGGCUCAACCGAAGAAGUGCAUCGGAAACUGGGAAACUUGAGUGCAGAAGAGGACAGUGGAACUCCAUGUGUAGCGGUG
This 716-nucleotide ribosomal RNA is filed under the name uncultured Lactobacillus sp. RNAcentral's name for it is "bacterial SSU rRNA". It matches the Rfam family "Bacterial small subunit ribosomal RNA", at positions 8 to 683 of the family's 1533-position model. Lineage: Bacteria; Bacillati; Bacillota; Bacilli; Lactobacillales; Lactobacillaceae. The record is from RNAcentral.